CCUACGGGAGGCAGCAGUGGGGGAUAUUGCACAAUGGGGGAAACCCUGAUGCAGCGACGCCGCGUGUGGGAAGACGGUCCUCUGGAUUGUAAACCACUGUCGCCAGGGACGAAGAUGAGGGUACCGGGGGAGGAAGCGCCGGCUACCUCAGUGACAGCAGCCGCGGUAAGACGUAGGGAGCGAGCGUUGUCCGGAUUUACUGGGUGUACAGGGAGCGUAGGCGGGACUGCAAGUUGGGUGUUAAAUCCACCGGCUCAACCGGUAGCCGCACUCAAAACUGCAGUUCUUGAGUGAAGUAGAGGUAGGCGGAAUUCCUAGUGUAGCGGUGAAAUGCGUAGAUAUUAGGAGGAACACCAGUGGCGAAGGCGGCCUGCUGGGCUUUUACUGACGCUGAGGUUCGAAAGUGUGGGGAGCAAACAGGAUUAGAUACCCCAGUAGUC
This 440-nucleotide ribosomal RNA is filed under the name uncultured bacterium. RNAcentral describes it as "partial 16S ribosomal RNA". It matches the Rfam family "Bacterial small subunit ribosomal RNA", at positions 338 to 795 of the family's 1533-position model. The record is from RNAcentral.